Molecule: transfer RNA, 72 nt
Filed under: Bos taurus (domestic cattle)
Lineage: Eukaryota; Metazoa; Chordata; Mammalia; Artiodactyla; Bovidae
Also listed under: 1 other name
Rfam family: tRNA
About the family: Transfer RNA (tRNA) molecules are approximately 80 nucleotides in length. Their secondary structure includes four short double-helical elements and three loops (D, anti-codon, and T loops). Further hydrogen bonds mediate the characteristic L-shaped molecular structure. tRNAs have two regions of fundamental functional importance: the anti-codon, which is responsible for specific mRNA codon recognition, and the 3' end, to which the tRNAs corresponding amino acid is attached (by aminoacyl-tRNA synthetases). tRNAs cope with the degeneracy of the genetic code in two manners: having more than one tRNA (with a specific anti-codon) for a particular amino acid; and 'wobble' base-pairing, i.e. permitting non-standard base-pairing at the 3rd anti-codon position.
Source: Rfam by way of RNAcentral
UCCCUGGUGGCUCAGUGGUAAAGAGCCCACCUGCCAAUGCAGGAGACACGGGUUUGAGCCCUGACCAGGGAA